CUACGGGAUGCACCAGUGGGGAAUCUUAGACAAUGGGCGCAAGCCUGAUCUAGCCAUGCCGCGUGAGUGGCGAAGGCCUUAGGGUCGUAAAGCUCUUUCGCUGGGGAAGAUAAUGACGGUACCCAGUAAAGAAACCCCGGCUAACUCCGUGCCAGCAGCCGCGGUAAUACGGAGGGGGUUAGCGUUGUUCGGAAUUACUGGGCGUAAAGCGCGCGUAGGCGGAUCAGAAAGUUGGGGGUGAAAUCCCGGGGCUCAACCCCGGAACUGCCUUCAAAACUCCUGGUCUUGAGUUCGAGAGAGGUGAGUGGAAUUCCGAGUGUAGAGGUGAAAUUCGUAGAUAUUCGGAGGAACACCAGUGGCGAAGGCGGCUCACUGGCUCGAUACUGACGCUGAGGUGCGAAAGCGUGGGGAGCAAACAGGAUUAGAUACCCGGGUAGUC
This 439-nucleotide ribosomal RNA is filed under the name uncultured bacterium. RNAcentral's name for it is "partial 16S ribosomal RNA". It matches the Rfam family "Bacterial small subunit ribosomal RNA", at positions 339 to 795 of the family's 1533-position model. The record is from RNAcentral.